AUCCUUACCUGCCAGGGGAAAUACCAUGAUCACUAAGGUGGUGGACCUAAGGCGAGGCUCAGUCAUUGCACUCGAGGUUGUGCUGAUCCUUGCGAAUUAGGAGACUUUCCACCUCCCACCCUGGCUCCAGAAGAACAACAUGGUGACGCCUGCAAAAC
RNAcentral lists this small nuclear RNA (158 nucleotides) under Nothobranchius furzeri (turquoise killifish). RNAcentral's name for it is "U1 spliceosomal RNA (ENSNFUG00015016862.1)". It matches the Rfam family "U1 spliceosomal RNA", at positions 1 to 128 of the family's 166-position model. Rfam says of the family: U1 is a small nuclear RNA (snRNA) component of the spliceosome (involved in pre-mRNA splicing). The record is from RNAcentral. Lineage: Eukaryota; Metazoa; Chordata; Actinopteri; Cyprinodontiformes; Nothobranchiidae.